Molecule: small RNA, 89 nt
Filed under: Pseudomonas sp. Boi14
Lineage: Bacteria; Pseudomonadati; Pseudomonadota; Gammaproteobacteria; Pseudomonadales; Pseudomonadaceae
Description: isrK Hfq binding RNA
Rfam family: isrK Hfq binding RNA
Source: Rfam by way of RNAcentral
GCCGCUGCACAAUCAGCGGCCGGGCCUGGAAACCCGAUGAAGUAAACGGCGCAGCAGCGCCACCUAUCACGAAUGCCGGCGCUUUUUUU